Non-coding RNA from Oncorhynchus mykiss (rainbow trout), 514 nucleotides. The record is from RefSeq and is a predicted model, not a curated record. NCBI's taxonomy places the organism in Eukaryota, Metazoa, Chordata, Actinopteri, Salmoniformes, Salmonidae.
CACUCACCCCUGGGGACACGCCAUUAUUGAACUUCACAUCGGUUUGCUUUAGAAAACUGUGACUAUUGAUAUUUGACUUGGCAUUUUGUAAAUGUAAGGAUCAUAUGCCCUUAUUCUAUGAAGGUAUAACAGGAUCAUAUGCCCUUAUUCUAUGAAGGUAUAACCGGAUCAUAUGCCCUUAUUCUAUGAAGGUAUAACAGGAUCAUAUGCCCUUAUUCUAUGAAGGUAUAACCGGAUCAUAUGCCCUUAUUCUAUGAAGGUAUAACCGGAUCAUAUGCCCUUAUUCUAUGAAGGUAUAACCGGAUCAUAUGCCCUUAUUCUAUGAAGGUAUAACAGGAUCAUAUGCCCUUAUUCUAUGAAGGUAUAACAGGAUCAUAUGCCCUUAUUCUAUGAAGGCAUAACAGGAUCAUAUGCCCUUAUUCUAUGAAGGUAUAACAGGAUCAUAUGCCCUUAUUCUAUGAAGGUAUAACCGGAUCAUAUGCCCUUAUUCUAUGAAGGCAUAACAGGAUCAUAU